RNAcentral lists this ribosomal RNA (258 nucleotides) under uncultured bacterium. RNAcentral's name for it is "partial 16S ribosomal RNA". It matches the Rfam family "Bacterial small subunit ribosomal RNA", at positions 96 to 354 of the family's 1533-position model. The record is from RNAcentral.
CGGCGGACGGGUGAGUAACGCGUGGAUAACCUGCCUCAUACAGGGGGAUAACAGUUAGAAAUGACUGCUAAUACCGCAUAAGCGCACAGGACCGCAUGGUCCGGUGUGAAAAACUCCGGUGGUAUGGGAUGGAUCCGCGUCUGAUUAGCUGGUUGGUGAGGUAACGGCCCACCAAGGCGACGAUCAGUAGCCGACCUGAGAGGGUGGCCGGCCACAUUGGGACUGAGACACGGCCCAAACUCCUACGGGAGGCAGCAG